This is a non-coding RNA of Micromonospora nigra, 75 nucleotides long. It matches the Rfam family "ASpks TB sRNA". The record is from Rfam. Lineage: Bacteria; Bacillati; Actinomycetota; Actinomycetes; Micromonosporales; Micromonosporaceae.
CUUGAUCGACCCGAGCAGCAGCGGACGGUCGGCGGGCCGGUCCUGCCCGUAGGUGGCCAGCAGGGCCUGCGCCUC